Molecule: ribosomal RNA, 268 nt
Filed under: uncultured bacterium
Lineage: Bacteria
Description: partial 16S ribosomal RNA
Rfam family: Bacterial small subunit ribosomal RNA
Source: RNAcentral
UUACCUACGGGGCGCAGCAGUGGGGGAUAUUGCACAAUGGGGGAAACCCUGAUGCGGCGACACCGCGUGGGUGAGGAAGCGCUUCGGCGUGUAAAGCCCUAUCAGUGGGGAAGAAAAAGGACGGUACCCAAAGAAGAAGCACCGGCUAAAUACGUGCCAGCAGCCGCGGUAAUACGUAGGUGGCAAGCGUUGUCCGGAUUUACUGGGUGUAAAGGGCGUGCAGCCGGAGAGACAAGUCAGAUGUGAAAUCCACGGGCUCAACCCGUGA